This 558-nucleotide ribosomal RNA is filed under the name Enterococcus sp. RNAcentral describes it as "bacterial SSU rRNA". It matches the Rfam family "Bacterial small subunit ribosomal RNA", at positions 1 to 556 of the family's 1533-position model. The record is from RNAcentral. Lineage: Bacteria; Bacillati; Bacillota; Bacilli; Lactobacillales; Enterococcaceae.
UUGUUGGAGAGUUUGAUCCUGGCUCAGGAUGAACGCUGGCGGCGUGCUUAACACAUGCAAGUCGAACGGGAUCCAAGAGCGCUUGCGUUUUUGGUGAGAGUGGCGAACGGGUGAGUAACACGUGAGUAACCUGUCCUUUUCUUUGGGAUAAGCUUCCGAAAGGGUGUUUAAUACCUUAUGUUCUGUCUGCCUCGCAUGGGGUGGGUGGGAAAGAUUUUUUCGGUAAAGGGUGGGCUCGCGGUCUAUCAGCUUGUUGGUGGGGUGAUGGCCUACCAAGGCUUUGACGGGUAGCCGGCCUGAGAGGGUGGUCGGUCACAUUGGGACUGAGAUACGGCCCAGACUCCUGCGGGAGGCAGCAGUGGGGGAUAUUGCACAAUGGGCGAAAGCCUGAUGCAGCGACGCCGCGUGGGGGAUGAAGGCCUUCGGGUUGUAAACUUCUUUUGCUCUGAACAAGGCGCACCGUGGGGUGUGUUGAGUGUAGGGGUUGAUUAGCGCCGGCUAACUACGUGCCAGCAGCCGCGGUAAUACGUAGGGCGCGAGCGUUGUCCGGAAUUAUUG